GCUCGUGUCGUGAGAUGUUGGGUUAAGUCCCGCAACGAGCGCAACCCCUAUCUUUAGUUGCUACCAUUUAGUUGGGCACUCUAAAGAGACCGCCGGUGAUAAGCCGGAGGAAGGUGGGGAUGACGUCAAGUCCUCAUGGCCCUUACGGGUAGGGCUACACACGUGCUACAAUGGCGCAUACAGAGUGCUGCGAACCUGCGAAGGUAAGCGAAUCACUUAAAGUGCGUCGUAGUCCGGAUUGGAGUCUGCAACUCGAC
RNAcentral lists this ribosomal RNA (257 nucleotides) under Fragilariopsis kerguelensis. Its description in RNAcentral is "partial Bacterial small subunit ribosomal RNA". It matches the Rfam family "Bacterial small subunit ribosomal RNA", at positions 1058 to 1316 of the family's 1533-position model. The record is from RNAcentral. Lineage: Eukaryota; Bacillariophyta; Bacillariophyceae; Bacillariales; Bacillariaceae.